CCUACGGGAGGCUGCCGUGGGGAAUAUUGGACAAUGGGCGAAAGCCUGAUCCAGCCAUGCCGCGUGUGUGAAGAAGGCCUUCGGGUUGUAAAGCACUUUCAGUGGGGAAGAAAGCCUUGGGGCUAAUACCCUCGAGGAAGGACAUCACCCACAGAAGAAGCACCGGCUAACUCCGUGCCAGCAGCCGCGGUAAUACGGAGGGUGCGAGCGUUAAUCGGAAUUACUGGGCGUAAAGCGCGCGUAGGCGGUCUGAUAAGCCGGUUGUGAAAGCCCCGGGCUCAACCUGGGAACGGCAUCCGGAACUGUCAGGCUAGAGUGCAGGAGAGGAAGGUAGAAUUCCCGGUGUAGCGGUGAAAUGCGUAGAGAUCGGGAGGAAUACCAGUGGCGAAGGUGGCCUUCUGGACUGACACUGACGCUGAGGUGCGAAAGCGUGGGUAGCAAACAGGAUUAGAUACCCGGGUAGUC
This 465-nucleotide ribosomal RNA is filed under the name Vreelandella stevensii. RNAcentral describes it as "partial 16S ribosomal RNA". It matches the Rfam family "Bacterial small subunit ribosomal RNA", at positions 338 to 795 of the family's 1533-position model. Lineage: Bacteria; Pseudomonadati; Pseudomonadota; Gammaproteobacteria; Oceanospirillales; Halomonadaceae. The record is from RNAcentral.